This 454-nucleotide ribosomal RNA is filed under the name uncultured Thiobacillus sp. RNAcentral's name for it is "bacterial SSU rRNA". It matches the Rfam family "Bacterial small subunit ribosomal RNA", at positions 923 to 1382 of the family's 1533-position model. The record is from RNAcentral. Lineage: Bacteria; Pseudomonadati; Pseudomonadota; Betaproteobacteria; Nitrosomonadales; Thiobacillaceae.
GCACAAGCGGCGGAUGAUGUGGAUUAAUUCGAUGCAACGCGAAAACCUUACCUACCCUUGACAUGUCCGGAACUUGCCAGAGAUGGCUUGGUGCCCGAAAGGGAAUCGGAACACAGGUGCUGCAUGGCUGUCGUCAGCUCGUGUCGUGAGAUGUUGGGUUAAGUCCCGCAACGAGCGCAACCCUUAUCAUUAGUUGCUACGCAAGGGCACUCUAAUGAGACUGCCGGUGACAAACCGGAGGAAGGUGGGGAUGACGUCAAGUCCUCAUGGCCCUUAUGGGUAGGGCUUCACACGUCAUACAAUGGUCGGUACAGAGGGUUGCCAAGCCGCGAGGCGGAGCCAAUCCCACAAAGCCGAUCGUAGUCCGGAUUGUUCUCUGCAACUCGAGAGCAUGAAGUCGGAAUCGCUAGUAAUCGCAGGUCAGCAUACUGCGGUGAAUACGUUCCCGGGUCUU